CUAUUCACAAGAGUGACGGGCGAUAUGUACUUUUGUUAUAGCCUUUUCAAUAAAUAAUUUUAUUUUUUAUUUACUUUCACAUCCAAAUUCAAAAAUAAUUAAAAAAUUUAUCCUAUUAAAGUAACUCAUUAACCUCUACUUUAUAAUCUACACAUUGACCUGAAAUAAGAAAAAAUAUAGUAUAAAAAUAUUUAAAUCAAAAUAAUAACAGCCGUACAUAAAAUUAAAAAUAGAAAAAAUAAAAGCGGGCUAUCUAUUAUAGAAAACAAAUUCCUGUGAAAGGUUAACAAACCGCCAGAAAUAUUAAG
This 308-nucleotide ribosomal RNA is filed under the name Laminalloptes simplex. Its description in RNAcentral is "partial 12S ribosomal RNA". The record is from RNAcentral. Lineage: Eukaryota; Metazoa; Arthropoda; Arachnida; Sarcoptiformes; Alloptidae.